AGCAGCCGCGGUAAUUCCAGCUCCAAUAGCGUAUAUUAAAGUUGUUGCAGUUAAAAAGCUCGUAGUUGAAUUUCGGGAUCAAUAUGUUGGUCGUGCCUUGGGUACGUACUGGUUUAUUGGUUUCUUCCUUCUGACGAACCAUGAUGUCAUUAAUUUGGUGUCUUGGGGAAUCAGGACUGUUACUUUGAAAAAAUUAGAGUGUUUAAAGCAGGCUCACGCUUGAAUACAUUAGCAUGGAAUAAUGAAAUAGGACGUUUGAUUCUAUUUUGUUGGUUUCUAGGAUCGACGUAAUGAUUAAUAGGGAUAGUUGGGGGCAUUAGUAUUCAAUUGUCAGAGGUGAAAUUCUUGGAUUUAUUGAAGACUAACUACUGCGAAAGCAUUUGCCAAGGAUGUUUUCAUUAAUCAAGACGAAAGUUAGGGGAUCGAAGACGAUCAGAUACCGUCGUAGUCUUAACCAUAAACUAUGCCGACUAGGGAUCGGAUGAUGUUAAUUUUUAAUGACUCAUUCGGCGCCUUACGG
This 520-nucleotide ribosomal RNA is filed under the name uncultured Glomus. RNAcentral's name for it is "SSU rRNA". It matches the Rfam family "Eukaryotic small subunit ribosomal RNA", at positions 569 to 1093 of the family's 1831-position model. The record is from RNAcentral. Lineage: Eukaryota; Fungi; Glomeromycota; Glomeromycetes; Glomerales; Glomeraceae.